CCUACGGGUGGCAGCAGUGGGGAAUAUUGCACAAUGGGCGCAAGCCUGAUGCAGCCAUGCCGCGUGUGUGAAGAAGGCCUUCGGGUUGUAAAGCACUUUCAGCGGGGAGGAAGGCGUUAAGGUUAAUAACCUUGUCGAUUGACGUUACCCGCAGAAGAAGCACCGGCUAACUCCGUGCCAGCAGCCGCGGUAAUACGGAGGGUGCAAGCGUUAAUCGGAAUUACUGGGCGUAAAGCGCACGCAGGCGGUCUGUCAAGUCGGAUGUGAAAUCCCCGGGCUCAACCUGGGAACUGCGUUCGAAACUGGCAGGCUAGAGUCUUGUAGAGGGGGGUAGAAUUCCAGGUGUAGCGGUGAAAUGCGUAGAGAUCUGGAGGAAUACCGGUGGCGAAGGCGGCCCUCUGGACAAAGACUGACGCUCAGGUGCGAAAGCGUGGGGAGCAAACAGGAUUAGAUACCCUAGUAGUC
Molecule: ribosomal RNA, 465 nt
Filed under: uncultured Klebsiella sp.
Lineage: Bacteria; Pseudomonadati; Pseudomonadota; Gammaproteobacteria; Enterobacterales; Enterobacteriaceae
Description: bacterial SSU rRNA
Rfam family: Bacterial small subunit ribosomal RNA
Source: RNAcentral